Long non-coding RNA from Ruditapes philippinarum (Manila clam), 577 nucleotides. RefSeq lists it as uncharacterized. The record is from RefSeq and is a predicted model, not a curated record. The transcript is spliced from 3 exons. NCBI's taxonomy places the organism in Eukaryota, Metazoa, Mollusca, Bivalvia, Venerida, Veneridae.
UCGGUGAUACCUUUUUACAUGAUAAUCAAGUGGACCGGUCAAGGCAGGUCGCAGAAUGAAAAUAAGACUAAAGUCGUACACUACGGCUUAACUUGAACUCAGAGAUAUGUCAACGAAAAAGUUAAAAAUGGUGAUGGUGAUUUUGGAAAGCCUUGCAGGAACUGGUCAUAAAAUUGUACGACUUAAACCCAAGGGAUCAGACAAGCUGGAAUUAGUAUUUAAAGAUCCUAUAGUGGAGCAACCAGUGUUAUACAAGGAGUUAAAGAAGAUCAGAACUUUGAAGAGUUAAUACAGGUUGACCUCUCUAUGACCUUUGAUGUCUGAUCAGAGGAUAAUGAGGAGAAUUCUUUUCAAUUUUGUGUGUUAAGAAAAUGCAAUUAUUUUUACCUUAAGUAAUAAGUUAGAAGACAAAGAUUGAAUUAUACUAAAGUGACAUCUCUGUUUCCAGGGACUACAGUUGCUAAGAUAUAUUCACAUAAUUUAUGUUUUGUGUAAAAUUAUAAUGUGAAGUAUUUAGUUUAAAUUUGUCUAAGUGUUAUGUAUACUUACAAAUAAAAUAAUAAAGAUGUAAAUCAUA